AUCCAGCUGACGAGUCCCAAAUGGGACGAAACGCGUGUCCUGGAU
Molecule: non-coding RNA, 45 nt
Organism: Schistosoma mansoni
Lineage: Eukaryota; Metazoa; Platyhelminthes; Trematoda; Strigeidida; Schistosomatidae
Source: Rfam